This 433-nucleotide ribosomal RNA is filed under the name uncultured bacterium. RNAcentral's name for it is "partial 16S ribosomal RNA". It matches the Rfam family "Bacterial small subunit ribosomal RNA", at positions 29 to 507 of the family's 1533-position model. The record is from RNAcentral.
AACGAACGCUGGCGGCAUGACUAACACAUGCAAGUCGAACGAGACCUUCGGGUCUAGUGGCGCACGGGUGCGUAACGCGUGGGAACCUGCCCUUAGGUUCGGAAUAACUCCCCGAAAGGGGUGCUAAUACCGGAUAAUGUCUUCGGACCAAAGAUUUAUCGCCUUUGGAUGGGCCCGCGUUGGAUUAGCUAGUUGGUAGGGUAAAAGCCUACCAAGGCGACGAUCCAUAGCUGGUCUGAGAGGAUGAUCAGCCACACUGGGACUGAGACACGGCCCAGACUCCUGCGGGAGGCAGCAGUGGGGAAUAUUGGACAAUGGGCGAAAGCCUGAUCCAGCAAUGCCGCGUGAGUGAUGAAGGCCUUAGGGUUGUAAAGCUCUUUUACCCGGGAUGAUAAUGACAGUACCGGGAGAAUAAGCUCCGGCUAACUCCGUG